GGCAGUGUAGCUCAGCUGGUUAGAGCGUGGCACUCAUAAUGCCAAGGUCGGUGGUUCGAGCCCACUCACUGCUACCA
This 77-nucleotide transfer RNA is filed under the name Pseudomonadota bacterium. Its description in RNAcentral is "Proteobacteria bacterium tRNA-Met". It matches the Rfam family "tRNA". From Rfam's summary of the family: Transfer RNA (tRNA) molecules are approximately 80 nucleotides in length. Their secondary structure includes four short double-helical elements and three loops (D, anti-codon, and T loops). Lineage: Bacteria; Pseudomonadati; Pseudomonadota. The record is from RNAcentral. RNAcentral also lists the same sequence under 4 other names.